GCGGUCUCGGCAUUCCUGCUGAACCGCUCUUCCGAUCUAGCGAAAUUCCUUGUCGGGUAAGUUCCGACCCUCACGAAUGGCGUAACGAUGGCCACACUGUCUCCUCCCGAGACUCAGCGAAGUUGAAGUGUUUGUGAUGAUGCAAUCUCCCCGCGGCUAGACGGAAAGACCCCAUGAACCUUUACUGUAGCUUUGCAUUGGACUUUGAACCGGUUUGUGUAGGAUAGGUGGGAGGCUGUGAAGCGGGAACGCUAGUUUCCGUGGAGCCGUCCUUGAAAUACCACCCUGAUCUGUUUGAGGUUCUAACCUUGGUCCGUAAUCCGGAUCGGGGACAGUGCAUGGUAGGCAGUUUGACUGGGGCGGUCUCCUCCCAAAGGGUAACGGAGGAGUACGAAGGUACGCUAGGUACGGUCGGAAAUCGUGCUGAUAGUGCAAUGGCAUAAGCGUGCUUGACUGCGAGACUGACAAGUCGAGCAGGUGCGAAAGCAGGUCAUAGUGAUCCGGUGGUUCUGUAUGGAAGGGCCAUCGCUCAACGGAUAAAAGGUACUCUGGGGAUAACAGGCUGAUACCGCCCAAGAGUUCAUAUCGACGGCGGUGUUUGGCACCUCGAUGUCGGCUCAUCUCAUCCUGGGGCUGUAGCCGGUCCCAAGGGUAUGGCUGUUCGCCAUUUAAAGAGGUACGUGAGCUGGGUUUAAAACGUCGUGAGACAGUUUGGUCCCUAUCUGCCGUGGGCGCUGGAUAUUUGAAGGGACCUGCUCCUAGUACGAGAGGACCGGAGUGGACGAACCUCUGGUGUACCGGUUGUCACGCCAGUGGCAUCGCCGGGUAGCUAUGUUCGGAAGAGAUAACCGCUGAAAGCAUCUAAGCGGGAAACUCGCCUUGAGAUGAGAUAUCCCCGGGGCUUCGAGCCCCUUGAAGGGUCGUUCAAGACCAGGACGUUGAUAGGUCAGGUGUGGAAGCGCAGUAAUGCGUUAAGCUAACUGAUACUAAUUGCCCGU
RNAcentral lists this ribosomal RNA (998 nucleotides) under marine metagenome. RNAcentral's name for it is "bacterial LSU rRNA". It matches the Rfam family "Bacterial large subunit ribosomal RNA", at positions 1904 to 2912 of the family's 2925-position model. The record is from RNAcentral.